RNAcentral lists this unclassified non-coding RNA (1168 nucleotides) under Hevea brasiliensis (rubber tree). Lineage: Eukaryota; Viridiplantae; Streptophyta; Magnoliopsida; Malpighiales; Euphorbiaceae. The record is from RNAcentral.
GCAAUAAACUAUAAUUCACUUCGUUCAUAGUCCACAAGCCAGACAAGAGUAUCAAGGCACUUCUAUACUCAUCUUUUAGUCAGCGGACAUGGAAUAUUACAAGAUUACAGAGUUUACGGGCAAUAAAAAUUAUUGAGCACAUGCAUUAUCUUCAGGCAUGACUUAAUAUUGUACUUGAUUGAAAGCCAAAAAUUGGGCAAAUAAAAAUUUAAAAGAGGGUCAACAUUCAUGAGAUGAAAAAUAAGUCUUACGGACAUCUAUAAUUUAAAGACAAUAAUCUUACAAGUAUCAGUGAAAGUCACAGCAUAUUCAACGUUUUCUUUUUCUCUUGCUGUCUCUGCUUGUAUUAGUCUUCGAGUUUGGAUCCGGUUUUGAAACUACCAACUUGGACCACACAGCAGAACUCCACAAGGCCCUUUCUACAUCUGAUACUGUGAAGUACUCCCCGUUUGAACUUAAUUCCUUAGAUUUACUUAGUAGCUUAUCCGUGAAUAGAAGAUACUGCUUCAACGUAUAAUCUUUUGAUGUACCCAGAGCUGCUUCCAUAGCCUCAUCAGACAUGAAAGGUGCGACAUCAGGCGCAUAGGCAGCCAAAACGGCGGAGGCAGUUGCCGGACCGACGCCUUUCAAAACCGUAAGCUGAGAAACAGCUUUCCUUAAAUCAGGAAGCGAUUCAAACGCCUUUUGAGAAGCAGAUUUCACUAACUCCUCGUCCAAGGACGAGACGAAGUCCAGCAAGCGGGGCCUCAAGCAAUCAAAUGUACAGAAAUUCAUCAAUUAACUAUAAUAGAUAUGUUAGAAUCUAUAAGAGAGGGUGAGAGUGCAGUUACCUCCAUUUUCCACGGGAAAGCUUCCAUUGCAUGAGCUUGGAGAGCUCAAGAGUGGUUAUGUACGGCUUAGGGUUUCGCUGAUGAAGGAGAGAGGGAAGUUGGAUUCGGUAGAAUUGGUCGAGAGAAACGAGAUUGGGUUUGUUGAGAGAUUCUAUGCGAGCAGGAUAAGAAGAGAGGGCCUCCUUCCAGGAACUGAUAUCGGAGCUCCUAAAAUCCAUAAUCACGGGCAGUACCUGAAGCAGUGGCAACCCGCCGGAGUAUUUUUAAAAUUUAAUUUCUUCUCUUGAUUUUUCAGGUGGACUUGGCGGGUGAUAUUCUUGACCAUUAGACGAUGGGCC